This 220-nucleotide ribosomal RNA is filed under the name uncultured Staphylococcus sp. Its description in RNAcentral is "partial 16S ribosomal RNA". It matches the Rfam family "Bacterial small subunit ribosomal RNA", at positions 119 to 334 of the family's 1533-position model. Lineage: Bacteria; Bacillati; Bacillota; Bacilli; Caryophanales; Staphylococcaceae. The record is from RNAcentral.
GGGUAACCUACCUAUAAGACUGGGAUAACUUCGGGAAACCGGAGCUAUACCGGAUAAUAUUUCGAACCGCAUGGUUCGAUAGUGAAAGAUGGCUUUGCUAUCACUUAUAGAUGGACCUGCGCCGUAUUAGCUAGUUGGUAAGGUAACGGCUUACCAAGGCAACGAUACGUAGCCGACCUGAGAGGGUGAUCGGCCACACUGGAACUGAGACACGGUCCAG